CUUGCCCUGAAUGAAGGCCAGCAGCUUCCUGACACUGUUGGUUUCUAACUGGAGCCUAAAGAGAUGUCUUUCUAUGGUCUACUGGCCAUUUCAGAACUUGGGCGGUGAAAUGGUCAAUUCAUUAAAAAGAAACAGCU
This is a small nucleolar RNA of Cavia aperea (Brazilian guinea pig), 137 nucleotides long. Lineage: Eukaryota; Metazoa; Chordata; Mammalia; Rodentia; Caviidae. The record is from Ensembl.